AUGUUUCACCAAGUCUUGGUCAAGAAGGACGACCAACAAUGCCAACGUUUUUUCUGGCAACAAGGAGAAUUGGAAGACGAACCCGAAGUGUACGUAAUGCAGGUGAUGACUUUCGGAGCGUGCUGCUCGCCAAGUAUAGCCCAAUACGUAAAAAAUCAUAAUGCAGAGCAAUACAUGUCACAACAGCCCGAAGCAGUCAACGCUAUUAUUCAACAGCACUACGUAGACGACAUGCUGCUCAGUGCAGAAACCGAAGCAGCAGCCAUAAAUACAGCGACAAAGGUAGCAGAGAUCCACGCAGCAGCCGGCUUCGAAAUGAGAAAUUGGAUCUCUAAUUCAGCCACAGUCAGUAGGUCACUCCUAGGCUCAUCGGCUCCCGAAGAAAAAAACCUAGACAUCGGAGAAACCCAGACAGAGAAGGUACUCGGAAUGUGGUGGGACGUUAAAAAUGACUGCUUUACGUUCCGUAUAUCCGACAAACUUAAGGAGCUAACUAUGCCACAAGAAAAGGGUCCAACAAAGCGACAACUACUACGAGUACAAAUGACCAUUUUUGACCCACUCGGAUUCAUAGCCCAUUUCGUCAUGCGACUAAAGGUAAUAAUUCAGGAGCUGUGGCGAUCGUCGAUAGGUUGGGACGACAGUAUCCCUCCCCAACAGGAGGAAAAGUGGCUAAAAUGGACACAAGAUUUGCCCGAGAUAGCUGGCCUAAAAAUACCGCGCUGUUUCAGAAACCAAACAGGAACAGACGCUGAAAUAGAGCUCCACACGUUUGUAGACGCGAGCGAGAUGGGCUUCGCGGCAGUCUGCUACCUUCGUUUCGAAGAUAAAGGUAUCAUAGAAUGUAGCAUAGUAAGUGCAAAGACGAAGGUAGCACCGAUCAGCUUCCUAUCAAUCCCUAAGUCGGAACUGCAGGCAGCUGUAAUUGGCGUUCGACUUGCCGAGACAGUACAAAGGUCUGUGAGCUUUACUAUCCACAGGAGGAUGUUCUGGACCGACUCCGAGGACGUACUCAACUGGCUAUCAUCCGAUCAUAGGAAAUAUCACCAAUUUGUAGCGUUUCGAGUUAGCGAAAUCCUACAAUCCUCAGAUAUUUCCGAGUGGAGAUGGGUACCAUCCAAGGACAACGUCGCCGAUGAUGGCACGAAAUGGACGAAGGAUGCGCUCGAAUCGUCCAGUAGAUGGGUCAAUGGACCACCGUUCCUAAAAAAGACGAAGACGGACUGGCCAUCGACGCCACCUCCAACGAAAACAGCCACAGAACUACGCGCACAUUUUCUCCUACACAGCACAGAUCCAGGAGAAGUAAUAGAUGCCAAACGAUUCUCAAAGUGGUCAUCUCUAGUACGACACGUAGCCUUUGUGUGUCGAUUCAUCCGGAAUCUAAAAAGAAAGAUAGAAAAAAGGCCGAUGCAAUUAGACACGCUAUCCGGAGAGGAACUGGAAAAAGCAGAGCGACACUGUUUCAGACAUGCACAACAAACCGAAUUCCAAAAGGAACUGUCUCUCUUUAAAAACCAACACGCACAAGGUGGUAAACCCACAGUAGAGUUAAAGGAGAGUAGCAUUUCAAAGAUGAAUCCAUUCAUGGACGAACAGGGAAUGCUUAGAUCACGCAGCAGAAUUCAGACCUGUGAAUUCACAAACUAUGAUGCAGAAAAUCCAAUAAUUCUCCCCAAGCGAAGUCCAAUCACUAAUCUCCUCCUACUACACUACCACGAACGAUACAAUCACCAAUGCCAUGAAACAGCACUAAACGAGAUACGCCAGCGCUUCAGGAUUCCCAAGCUAAAGGCACUGUAUCGCAGUGCGCGCGCCCAAUGCCAAGCAUGCAAAAAUCAAAACGCAAAACCCCUCGAACCUAUGAUGGCAUCGCUACCCAAGGCUCGACUCGCUGGAUACACUCGCCCUUUCACUCAUAUGGGUAUCGACUACUUCGGACCGAUACUCGUAACGGUCGGCAGACGGGUCGAAAAACGUUGGGGGGUUCUAGCUACCUGCCUCACUACGCGAGCAAUCCACGUAGAACUAGCGGCGUCACUUUCUACUGACUCAUGUAUAAUGGCCAUUCGAAACAUCUGGGCCAGAAGAGGAACACCAGCCGCUAUCUAUAGCGAUCGAGGCACGAAUUUCCAAGGAGCCAGCAAGAUCGUACACGAGCAUAAGGACAAACCAGACUAUGCGGGUAUCGAACAAGGAUUAACUACCCCAGGUAUUACAUGGAUCUUCAAUACACCAUCCGCACCACACAUGGGCGGCGCAUGGGAGCGGCUGAUACAAAGCGUGAAAAAGAACCUUACAGUAGCUCUAAAAGAGAAGAGACCAAGUCAUGAAACCCUUGCAAACGCUCUUACCGAAAUUGAAAAUGUAGUGAAUUCACGGCCGUUAACAGCAGUCCCACUGGAUGACGACGAAUCUCCGGUGCUGACACCAAACCACUUCCUGGUGGGCUCCAGCAAUGGUAUCAGAUCAUGGAUCCCACUAGACGCCACACCGGGCGCUGUGAGAAGAAACUGGGUAGCGUCUCAGCAAAUUACCGAUAUGUUCUGGAAAAGGUGGGUUCAUGAUUAUCUUCCACAGAUUACCCAACGGCCGAAAUGGAACCAACCCACCAAACCUUUGGAAAUCGACGACAUAGUCGUUAUCGCCGACGAGCAACUCCCCCGCAACAGCUGGCCAAAGGGACGAAUCAUCGGGGUGCGAAAAGCAACAGACGGACAGGUGCGGUCAGUGACAGUGCAAACAAUACACGGUAUAUUCGAACGCCCUUCGGUGAAAAUAGCGGUGUUAGAUGUGCGUAAACCUAAAGGAACCUCGGAUAGCGGUUAGUGAAUAAGCAAUCUAAUCGAACGCACCGCGACACAAAGCUGUUUUUACUUUCUGAUUGUAAACAACGUGUACCACGUUUUGUGUACUGGGGGGGAGUGUUGUCAAAACAGCCUUGACAGCCAGACAACCAUCACAAGCCGCCCGACAAGACGGAUGGAACCAAGCGCUAGAUGGCCGCCUGCGACGGACCACAGAACCGAACGCUAGAGGGCCGCCACGACACGAAUGAAAAGACACGAAGCAGUAGCGGCAAAAUAAGCGAAGGAAAGAGACACGGAUUUUUUUUAAUCGCACGACCAGUACCCUAAAAUUGAAUAAAGAAAAAACUAAGCCGGAUUAAGGCAAAUAAAGCGAGAUCAACGCAGUUUUUUCUGUUCACUUAAUUUUGAGUAUUUCCAUUAAAGAAGCCGAGUCGAGGCAUUUUGAGCCGUUUUCUUUGCAUAUCUAAGUCGAGUAAGUCGCUUUUUCCACAGGUGCAGUUUAAGGGAAGUUUAAGGCAGCGGUCUAAUCUUGUUGCGCGCAACAUUGUUGCUCGGCAACAUAUCGCUGAGGUGGUCUAUGAAUGUUGCUGGCAACAUUUUGCUUUGACAUUGUUUAGCGUAAAAAAAUUGCCAAUUAACAGCUCAGAGUUUAUUUUUUAUCAUUCACUUCUUGAAUGAAGUGUUGAAAAAACAAAAUAUACACCAAAAAAUGUAUUAUAAAUGCUUAAAAUCCAAAUUUAGCGGAUGUCAACAAAACGCACACUGCUGCUGUGUCAUUUCAUACACCCGAUUACCAUGGCCAAGGUAAAUAGAAAAUGUUGCCAGACAAAAAUCAAAUUGGUUUGAUUUUGGCCGGCAACAAAGUUGCGCUAGCUGUCAAAAUCCAUACAUUUUGCCAGCAACAAUGUUGCGCGCAACAAGAUUAGACCAGUGCCUAAGGCUCCAGUUUAAGGGAAUUUGCUCGAAUUUCGGAUUAUUCGUGCUCGAAAAUGUCAAUUGGGUAAUACGGACGUCACACGAAGCGUAAACUUUGGCGUAAACUGGAUUUCAGCCAUACAACCCUGAAAUCUUUUGACAGGAAGAUUACGCUCUCCCAUACAAAUCAAGCGUAAACUUUUUGAGUUUACGCCUCGUGUGACGUCCGUAUAAUACGGUAAGGCUCCAGUUUAAGGGAAAUUGCUCGAAUUUUUCCGAUUAUUCGUGCUCGAAAAUGUCAAUUGGGUGUUGUCAAACUGAAUCUCAAAAUGGCAACAUGUCAAACGCUAAGAAGACACCUCUUCUAUACUCCACCUUGAUUUGAACGGUAACAUUCAGUAGUCCGUGGCUUUCGGAUUAUCCGUAAUUGGAAUAUGUGGAUAAAAAAUCUUCAAUGGAUUGGGGUGAUAAAUAGUUAGGAUUACGGCGAGUUUUAUUUUGUUUGCAGUACUCAUCAAUUUGAUUAUUCUAGGUCAAAGAUUAGUUUUGUUUAUUAUUUGUCUUAUCUCUGUUAUUUCAAUCGCAUGGUGCCGUGUGGUGCUAAGGAAACAAGAACAAAUAAUGACGACAUGCGAUAAUGAGUGCAGAACUAACUACAUGUGCGUCAAUAUUGAAUAGCCGCAGAAUGGAAUAGAAUGAGUUUUACACACACAACGAGAUGUUUUGUUUACACCAGAUUGAUUAAAAUCAACGGGGCACGGUCUAGAUUAGUCAGUAGAAGUUCAACUCUUGUUGACUUAAAAAGCACCAAUUCGCAUACAGAAAACGUCAACAUAUAUGGAGUGAAAAGAAAUUUAAUUUAUAAAUCAAUAAACAACAAGGAUCUAAUAAUGGUGCAUAGCAAGGCCGGUUCUUUUCUUGAACAGCCGAAGGUGAAUCUUGUCUCUGCAAAUGCAACUGUAGAUCGAAUGUUUCAUUGUGCAACGAAAUCAAAUACCAGGUAAGCGUGGGAUUUUUUGUUCCAUAAUGUUUAGCAACAGUUGGUUACCAGGAGAUCAACUGUUUGAAUAUAACAACCAGAAGAAUUUGUAACAUACUUCGAUGAAAUCGCAUCGGAUGAGCCACUGCCACGGGCUUUAUUUCCACGUCACACAAAGCGUAAACUUUUUCCAUUUAUUUGGAAUUUUUAUUUAAACAUCUGUACAAAAGUGUAUGCUUCGUGUUUUUUGGUAGGUCAUCAGCUACUGCGUAAACUUGCUCUCAAAUUUACUGGAUUUGUUGUUGUUAGCCCACUUGCGGGUAAUUUUAAACUUUAAGAAGUAUUUAUUUAUAUUUAUAUUUAUAAUUUACAUAUCGUUCACUUUUUGUUUACCAUUUGGGGUAAAUUCGUCCGUCAAAAGUUUACUCAAUGAUUAGAUUUCACCCAUUUGGACCUUAACCGUAGAGUUGGCAACCAAAUUUACACACGAAAGUUGACAACCGGCAUACCCGGGUAUUCCACACGUUUGGACACAAAAUAUUGGGGGCCUUCACGAUUCUAGUUAGUUUUUUGUAUGGAGUUUGACAGUUGGAGGCUGAAAUAAUGUAAACACUCCAUACAAAAGCACACAUAAGACUAGCCUGCAAUUUUCAGUCUAGAUCAAGGUGUUAUAAAUGACAAGGUGAAGUUGUUCAGAGCAAAAUGACAUUUCUCGACUUGACAUUUCUCUUCCGUGGGCUCCGGUAUAAAAAUCGGGGAGGAUUGGUGCGGGGUAAUGAAAUUUGUAUGCAGAGAAUGACAGAUGUCCCCCACAAUGUCGCCCAGCAAAAGCGAUAAAAAUCAACCUUCUAAAUACAUUAUCCUUGGUCUAGAUUAUUCUAUCCCCAAAGCUAGAAUUAUUUUCGAGUACCUGCUCGAAAACACGGGUUUGUUUACAUUUAUCCUAAGGUGCAUUAAAGAGAUCAGGUGAUGCAAUAUAGAAUCAAAGUGUAUGUAGUCGAGGUGGUCUCAUAGCAUUUUUUAUAACCAAUUUUGAGCAUCAAUUUUGAACAGAACGAGUGAAAACUUUUGGUCAAACGAGUUUUCUGGAGGCUUGACGAAUACUCAAAACACUCUUAAAAUCUGCAUUCAGAAGCAGAAGCGAUAAAAAUCAGCCUUCUAAAUUAAUACACCUUGGGACAAGCCCACCUGCCCAAACGUCCAAAACGCGAUGAAUGGGUAAAACUAUGGACCUGAGAUGGGGCCCUAUCUCAGUACCCAACUGGUACCCAAAGGCAGACAAUUUUGGACUUAUUUUUUGAGAGAGAGCUAAAAGCUGAUUCCUCCCCUCUUCUCCACUUCUCUCUAGAAUUCCAUUUGUGUGAGUUCUAGGAGAAGGGGAAAGGGAAGGAGAUGAGAAGUAAGUGAAUUAAAGUUGAUGAGGGAGGGGAGGGACACAUUCACCAGUCACCGCCAAUAUCGAGAAUUUGACAUUGGCCGGUGGUGUUUGGUUCAUCGGCGUUCCGUGUGGACCACGGAUGCUUAGAGGAAAUGCCCUGUAUAUUUCCGUACAGUAUCUCAUUGCGGCGGAACCUUAAAAAUGUUAUUGCGCGGUCGAAUCAGGAAUCGCGCAUCGGAUCGAUGGAAGAAGGGAGUACGAACGAGGGGGAGAAGACGAAGCACAGAGAAAAACGCUACACAUUCGCUCAUACAUUCUUACAGCAGCAGGCAAUUCGCGAGAACAUGAAAUCGGGAGAGUAUAUUUUAACGCUCGCGAAUGAGUGCAAGCAGGUGCGGUAUAGAAGAUAGAGCAAGACAGCCUAGUUUUUGUUCAAGCUAGGUCCAAAAUGUUUCCUUGGGUGUAUAUUAUACUCACUUAGAUAGCUGCUCGAAAACUGCUAUACAAUGCCGACAGCUGACAGGCUGAAAUUUCAGCCUACGAACUUAAAACGGAAAGGGCCCCAUUGAUGGUUUUCUAAGGUAAACAAUGCUUUUUAUCUUUUAAUGCCGUAAUUCGGACGUCACACGAAGCGUAAACUUUGCGUAACUAGAUUUCAGUCAUACAACCAUAUAAUCAUUUGUCAAAUGAUUAUGUUACGCAGUUUAUGCUCUCCCAUACAAAUCAAGCGUAAUUUUUUUGAUGUUACGCCUCGUGUGAUGUGCUUUUUCAUUUAUUCAUUUAAGUUUUUUUCAUUUUAUGAUAAAACUAACGGUCUAUGUGAAAUUUUAAAUUGCUAAAAUUUGACUCGACAAUAAGCACAAUACGGAAAAAAGAAAAA
RNA transcript from Anopheles gambiae (African malaria mosquito), 6962 nucleotides. It is a transcript of the gene named bifunctional methylenetetrahydrofolate dehydrogenase/cyclohydrolase, mitochondrial, with no coding region annotated. The transcript is spliced from 3 exons. The record is from RefSeq and is a predicted model, not a curated record. NCBI's taxonomy places the organism in Eukaryota, Metazoa, Arthropoda, Insecta, Diptera, Culicidae.